RNAcentral lists this ribosomal RNA (494 nucleotides) under uncultured bacterium. RNAcentral describes it as "partial 16S ribosomal RNA". It matches the Rfam family "Bacterial small subunit ribosomal RNA", at positions 28 to 507 of the family's 1533-position model. The record is from RNAcentral.
GACGAACGCUGGCGGCGUGCUUAACACAUGCAAGUCGAACGGAAAGGCCUGUCCUUCCUUGUGUUGGACGGGUACUCGAGUGGCGAACGGGUGAGUAACACGUGAGUGAUCUGCCCCCAACUUGGGUAUAAGCCUGGGAAACUGGGUCUAAUUCCCGAUAGGACUGCAGGGUGGUGCCUGUGGUGGAAAACGAUUUUCUAGUGGUUGGGGAUGAGCUCGCGGCCUAUCAGCUUGUUGGUGGGGUAAUGUCCUACCAAGGCGGCGACGGGUAGCCGGCCUGGGAGGGUGGACGGCCACAUUGGGACUGAGAUACGGCCCAGACUCCUACGGGAGGCAGCAGUGGGGAAGAAUGCACAAUGGGCGGAAGCCUGAUGCAGCGACGCCGCGUGGGGGAUGACGGCCUUCGGGUUGUAAACUCCUUUCGACCGCGAGGAAGCCGCCUGGUUGGAAGGGUGGUGACGGUAGUGGUAGAAGAAGCACCGGCUAACUACGUG